GCCGGGGUCGCAUAACCUGGUAGUGCGCCGGUCUUGAAAACCGGUUUCCUCACGGAACUAUGGGUUCAAAUCCCAUCCCCGGCG
Molecule: transfer RNA, 84 nt
Filed under: Candidatus Woesearchaeota archaeon
Lineage: Archaea; Nanobdellati; Candidatus Woesearchaeota
Description: tRNA-Ser
Rfam family: tRNA
About the family: Transfer RNA (tRNA) molecules are approximately 80 nucleotides in length. Their secondary structure includes four short double-helical elements and three loops (D, anti-codon, and T loops). Further hydrogen bonds mediate the characteristic L-shaped molecular structure. tRNAs have two regions of fundamental functional importance: the anti-codon, which is responsible for specific mRNA codon recognition, and the 3' end, to which the tRNAs corresponding amino acid is attached (by aminoacyl-tRNA synthetases). tRNAs cope with the degeneracy of the genetic code in two manners: having more than one tRNA (with a specific anti-codon) for a particular amino acid; and 'wobble' base-pairing, i.e. permitting non-standard base-pairing at the 3rd anti-codon position.
Source: RNAcentral